Molecule: ribosomal RNA, 505 nt
Filed under: Juga plicifera
Lineage: Eukaryota; Metazoa; Mollusca; Gastropoda; Semisulcospiridae
Description: partial large subunit ribosomal RNA
Rfam family: Bacterial large subunit ribosomal RNA
Source: RNAcentral
GGCUCUCUGUUUACAUAAAUAUAGGGAGUCGAGCCUGCCCAGUGAAUUUUUAAACGGCCGCGGUACUCUGACCGUGCAAAGGUAGCAUAAUCAUUUGCCUUAUAAUUGAAGGCUAGUAUGAAUGGUUUGACGAGAGCAACACUGUCUCCUUUUUAUUUUCAAGAACUUAACUUUUAGGUGAAGAGGCCUAAAUUUUAUUGAAGGACAAGAAGACCCUAUCGAGCUUAAAAGACAUUAUAGAAGUUUAUAUAUUUCUAAAUAAAUUUUCUAUUGAGCUUUUUAGUUGGGGCGACUAAGGAACAAAAAAAGCUUCUUGCUAAUAAUAGACAGUCAUGUUUAGAUCCGAUAAUAAUCGAUUAAAGAAAUUAGUUACCGUAGGGAUAACAGCAUAAUCUCUCUUGAGAGACCUAAUCGAAAGAGGGGGUUGUGACCUCGAUGUUGGACUAGAAUAUCCUAAAGAUGCAGAAGUCUUUGAAAGGUCGGUCUGUUCGACCGUUAAAAUUCU